GGUGGCUCAGUGGUAGAGUGCUUGCCUUGCAUGCAUGAGGCCCUGGGUUUGAUUCUUAAGCACCA
This 65-nucleotide transfer RNA is filed under the name Dipodomys ordii (Ord's kangaroo rat). It matches the Rfam family "tRNA". Rfam says of the family: Transfer RNA (tRNA) molecules are approximately 80 nucleotides in length. Their secondary structure includes four short double-helical elements and three loops (D, anti-codon, and T loops). The record is from Rfam by way of RNAcentral. Lineage: Eukaryota; Metazoa; Chordata; Mammalia; Rodentia; Heteromyidae.